RNAcentral lists this small nucleolar RNA (106 nucleotides) under Gossypium hirsutum (cotton). RNAcentral's name for it is "Plant small nucleolar RNA R71". It matches the Rfam family "Plant small nucleolar RNA R71". Rfam says of the family: R71 is a member of the C/D box family of snoRNAs containing the C (UGAUGA) and D (CUGA) box motifs. Multiple nearly identical copies of this snoRNA have been identified in Arabidopsis, and it is thought to function as a 2'-O-ribose methylation guide for 18S ribosomal RNA. The record is from Rfam by way of RNAcentral. Lineage: Eukaryota; Viridiplantae; Streptophyta; Magnoliopsida; Malvales; Malvaceae. RNAcentral also lists the same sequence under 1 other name.
AUUUAAUGAUGAGGGUAUCUUCGUAUUAGUUCUUUAAAUCUUUCCCACGCCUUAUACAAGGAUUCAUCAUCAAUCUAUUUGAAGGUAGUAAUCUCAUUCUGCAACU